This is a long non-coding RNA of Aquila chrysaetos chrysaetos, 828 nucleotides long. RefSeq lists it as uncharacterized. The record is from RefSeq and is a predicted model, not a curated record. The transcript has 8 exons. Lineage: Eukaryota; Metazoa; Chordata; Aves; Accipitriformes; Accipitridae.
UGGGCACACUCCUACACAGACACAAGCUUGCAGCAUCGAAUCAGUUUGAAGAGGUCCUCAAAAUAUAUUGCUUCUGUCAGUGUUGGGACAUAAGCUGUGCAUAGCUACUUUACUCUGGACACAGUGAACUUGUGGCAUAGCUGAAGAGAAGAUAACAGCUGAAUGUGUAGAAACCCUUCUGGCAUGGCAUCUGUGGCACACUAUAUCCUUUACUCGUAUAUACAACUUCGAGGAAUUUAGCAAGCAGCUGAUCUACCUCAAGGCUUUUCCCACAAGAGGAAGAAGACCAUCCACUCCGGAUUAUGCAAGAGAUGGUAGUUGUCUUUGAGGUGGAGCAGACUGUUGACGCAAAAUCAGCAAAAAGAAAGUGGAAUGCAUGCUACUUUUUCUCCAGCAUGACUUGGCUACACUUCUUCCUCUUCCUGUCCCUUAUGGGUCUUACAGCCUCUCUCACUUGGAAGUAGUGUUUGAUUGGAGAAGCAGAAUAAAUAAGUGAACCAAGUGGAGAGAAGAACUGGCCACACAAACCCCUGAUUAAAAAAAAAUGUUGAAGAAACUAAAUGAGAGAGGAAGUCCUUUCUUGAACAAAAGUCAUCGUAUUUCAUAAGCUCUGGCCAUCAACGUUGGAAUGCCACAGGCCGGAAGCCUCUUUUAGCUGACUCUGGAACCAAGGACUGACUCAAUUUACUGGGGAAAUGUUUUCUACGGAAGACUGGCUAAUUCCUUCCACCUGUGCAACCUGCUCUUAUUGUUCUCAGAGAGCAAUGAUGCUACUCCCAUGAAGCAUACCCUGGGAAAAAGAUAAAAGAGGAACCUCUUAUUGAAGGU